Molecule: long non-coding RNA, 366 nt
Organism: Suricata suricatta (meerkat)
Lineage: Eukaryota; Metazoa; Chordata; Mammalia; Carnivora; Herpestidae
Exons: 2
Source: RefSeq, a predicted model, not a curated record
CUAAUCAUGUAGGCAUUUUAUCUCACACUAUAAGAAGGAUGAACAUGAUUGAACAGAACAUGAGUUCUGUUGCAGAACUCAAAGGGUCCAGCUGAGGGUGGCCAUCAUUCUCUUCUUCUCCUGUUUUUGUCAACUCUGUUCCAAUAACAAGCUCUCUGUCAGGAGGCUGCAAACAGCUGGGUCAGAGAUCAGGCAGGGUCAUUGCACACUCAGGCCUUGGGUUUCACCCGCUGGUCCCCACAGCGUGCUGGGAGCAAUACUCCUUGAUCUCCCUAUGCUGUCACCCAGUUCUGCAGCACAAUUGGCACUGAGCCUUUGCAAACAUUCUAAUUUGAUGCAUAAUUAAUAUAACAGUGAUUCAAGGCA